RNAcentral lists this transfer RNA (91 nucleotides) under Cyrtodactylus sp. RNAcentral's name for it is "tRNA-Cys". The record is from RNAcentral. Lineage: Eukaryota; Metazoa; Chordata; Lepidosauria; Squamata; Gekkonidae.
AGGGGUAUAGUAGGAGAAAACGUAAUUCAAAUUUAGAGACGCACCCUGAAAGGUGCCGGGGCUUCUCCCGUUUUCCAGAGACGGGAGAAGA